CCUACGGGAGGCAGCAGUGGGGAAUUUUGGACAAUGGGCGCAAGCCUGAUCCAGCAAUGCCGCGUGCAGGAUGAAGGCCUUCGGGUUGUAAACUGCUUUUGUACGGAACGAAACGGUGAGCUCUAAUACAGUUUGACUAAUGACGGUACCGUAAGAAUAAGCACCGGCUAACUACGUGCCAGCAGCCGCGGUAAUACGUAGGGUGCGAGCGUUAAUCGGAAUUACUGGGCGUAAAGCGUGCGCAGGCGGUGAUGUAAGACAGAUGUGAAAUGCCCGGGCUCAACCUGGGACCUGCAUUUGUGACUGCAUCGCUAGAGUACGGUAGAGGGGGAUGGAAUUCCGCGUGUAGCAGUGAAAUGCGUAGAUAUGCGGAGGAACACCGAUGGCGAAGGCAAUCCCCUGGACCUGUACUGACGCUCAUGCACGAAAGCGUGGGGAGCAAACAGGAUUAGAUACCCUGGUAGUCCACGCCCUAAACGAUGUCAACUGGUUGUUGGGUCUUCACUGACUCAGUAACGAAGCUAACGCGUGAAGUUGACCGCCUGGGGAGUACGGCCGCGAGGUUGAAACUUCAAAGGAAUUGACGGCGNGAGAGNGCGAGGACGACACGAGGGAGAGG
This 619-nucleotide ribosomal RNA is filed under the name uncultured bacterium. RNAcentral describes it as "bacterial SSU rRNA". It matches the Rfam family "Bacterial small subunit ribosomal RNA", at positions 338 to 950 of the family's 1533-position model. The record is from RNAcentral.